CUACGGGACGCUCCAGUCGAGAAUCUUCCACAAUGGGCGAAAGCCUGAUGGAGCGACGCCGCGUGCUUGAAGAAGCCCUUCGGGGUGUAAAGAGCUUUUCUGUUUGAGAAAUCCUGUUUCGGCGGGAUGAUGUUAGAACAGGAAUAAGGGGCGGCUAACUUCGUGCCAGAAGCCUCGGUAAUACGAAGGCCCCAAGCGUUAUCCGGACUCACUGGGCGUAAAGCGUGGGUAGGCGGUUUUGAUAGUGGCUGUUUAAAUUCCGGGGCUUAACCUCGGAGCAGGCAGUCAAACGUCAAGACUAGAGCAAGUGAGAGGCUGGCGGAACUUACCAAGUAGGGGUGAAAUCCGUUGAUCUGGUAGGGAACACCAAAGGCGAAGGCAGCCAGCUGGUGCUUAGCUGACGCUGAGCCACGAAAGCGUGGGGAGUGAACGGGAUUAGAUACCCGUGUAGUC
This 453-nucleotide ribosomal RNA is filed under the name uncultured bacterium. RNAcentral's name for it is "partial 16S ribosomal RNA". It matches the Rfam family "Bacterial small subunit ribosomal RNA", at positions 339 to 795 of the family's 1533-position model. The record is from RNAcentral.